This 253-nucleotide ribosomal RNA is filed under the name uncultured bacterium. Its description in RNAcentral is "partial 16S ribosomal RNA". It matches the Rfam family "Bacterial small subunit ribosomal RNA", at positions 524 to 776 of the family's 1533-position model. The record is from RNAcentral.
UACGUAGGGUGCGAGCGUUAAUCGGAAUUACUGGGCGUAAAGCGUGCGCAGGCGGUUUUGUAAGACAGAUGUGAAAGCCCCGGGCUUAACCUGGGAAUGGCAUUGGUGACUGCACGGCUAGAGUGUGUCAGAGGGGGGUAGAAUUCCACGUGUAGCAGUGAAAUGCGUAGAGAUGUGGAGGAAUACCGAUGGCGAAGGCAGCCCCCUGGGAUAACACUGACGCUCAUGCACGAAAGCGUGGGGAGCAAACAGG